Molecule: ribosomal RNA, 507 nt
Filed under: uncultured bacterium
Lineage: Bacteria
Description: partial 16S ribosomal RNA
Rfam family: Bacterial small subunit ribosomal RNA
Source: RNAcentral
GACGAACGCUGGCGGCGUGCCUAAUACAUGCAAGUCGAACGCAUUUUCUUUCACCGUAGCUUGCUACACCGAAAGAAAAUGAGUGGCGAACGGGUGAGUAACACGUGGGUAACCUGCCCAUCAGCGGGGGAUAACACUUGGAAACAGGUGCUAAUACCGCAUAAUUCCAUUUACCGCAUGGUAGAUGGGUGAAAGGCGCUUUUGCGUCACUGAUGGAUGGACCCGCGGUGCAUUAGCUAGUUGGUGGGGUAACGGCCUACCAAGGCUGCGAUGCAUAGCCGACCGGAGAGGGUGAUCGGCCACACUGGGACUGAGACACGGCCCAGACUCCUACGGGAGGCAGCAGUAGGGAAUCUUCGGCAAUGGACGCAAGUCUGACCGAGCAACGCCGCGUGAGUGAAGAAGGUUUUCGGAUCGUAAAACUCUGUUGUUAGAGAAGAACAAGGAUGAGAGUGGAAAGUUCAUCCCUUGACGGUAUCUAACCAGAAAGCCACGGCUAACUACGUG